ACGGAAGGCAGCAGUGGGGGAUAUUGCACAAUGGAGGAAACUCUGAUGCAGCAACGCCGCGUGAGGGAAGAAGGUUUUCGGGUUGUAAACCUCUGUUUUUAGUGAAGAAACAAAUGACGGUAGCUAAAGAGGAAGCCACGGCUAACUACGUGCCAGCAGCCGCGGUAAUACGUAGGUUGCAAGCGUUGUCCGGAUUUACUGGGUGUAAAGGGUGCGCAGGCGGGACUGCAAGUUGGAUGUGAAAUACCGAGGCUUAACCUCGGAGCUGCAUACAAAACUGUGGUGCUUGAGUGGAGGAGAGGUAAGCGGAAUUCCGAGUGUAGCGGUGAAAUGCGUAGAUAUUAGGAGGAACACCAGUGGCGAAGGCGGCUUACUGGGCGAUAACUGACGCUGAGGCACGAAAGUGUGGGGAGCAAACAGGAUUAGAUACCCUGGUA
Molecule: ribosomal RNA, 437 nt
Filed under: uncultured Clostridium sp.
Lineage: Bacteria; Bacillati; Bacillota; Clostridia; Eubacteriales; Clostridiaceae
Description: partial 16S ribosomal RNA
Rfam family: Bacterial small subunit ribosomal RNA
Source: RNAcentral